CUGUUCGGAGUAUUCUGAGUGGCUAAGCGAAAGUGAUAAGUAACCCACCUGGGGAGUACGUUCGCAAGAAUGAAACUCAAAGGAAUUGACGGGGGCCCGCACAAGCGGUGGAGCAUGUGGUUUAAUUCGAUGAUACGCGAGGAACCUUACCAGGGCUUAAAUGUAGUUUGACAGGGCUGGAAACAGCUUUUCCUUCGGGCAGAUUACAAGGUGCUGCAUGGUUGUCGUCAGCUCGUGCCGUGAGGUGUCAGGUUAAGUCCUAUAACGAGCGCAACCCCUGUGGUUAGUUGCCAGCGAUUAAAGUCGGGAACUCUAACCAGACUGCCAGUGCAAACUGUGAGGAAGGUGGGGAUGACGUCAAAUCAUCACGGCCCUUACGUCCUGGGCCACACACGUGCUACAAUGGUAGGGACAGAGAGCAGCCACUGGGCGACCAGGAGCGAAUCUACAAACCCUAUCUCAGUUCGGAUCGGAGUCUGCAACCCGACUGCGUGAAGCUGGAAUCGCUAGUAAUCGCAUAUCAGCCAUGAUGCGGUGAAUAUGUUCCCGGGCCUUGUACACACCGCCC
Molecule: ribosomal RNA, 568 nt
Filed under: uncultured bacterium
Lineage: Bacteria
Description: bacterial SSU rRNA
Rfam family: Bacterial small subunit ribosomal RNA
Source: RNAcentral